Non-coding RNA from Drosophila virilis, 1795 nucleotides. Lineage: Eukaryota; Metazoa; Arthropoda; Insecta; Diptera; Drosophilidae. The record is from RefSeq and is a predicted model, not a curated record.
GGACACUACAAGCAAAUGUACCAAACUUUAAGACAAAGUGUAACUAUUUUAAUAUUACAAGAUAUCGUAAACUCAUUGUUAUUCGGAAAAGGACACUCAAGGGUUUAAGUAUAUGCUCAAAGUGCUGAGAUGUACCAUUGAUUUUACACAUAAAGCACCAAUUUUGGUACAUUUGCAGCACGUGGCAGCCAUGCUGACAAUUUGUCCCUCUAUUGUCAUAUUUUGCAAAUGGUUAUGUAUUAUGUUUCGCUUUUAACAGCUAACGGAGCAUUAGGCCUACACCCACCGCCAGCGGCUUAAGGGAAUGCCGUUAAACGAAAACUUUUGAGCCCGGUGGCAACGUCGGCGCUUCGACCGCGCCGACAAAUGACAUGCUAAACUAAUUUUUGGUGUCAUCCGCACAUGUUAAACUCGGAAUGCCAGUGACAGAAGACGCCCCACAAGUGACUUAUCCUGCGGCGCAAGCUUGAUUAAUUUUUGGCUGACAAGUGCUUAGUAAUAAUAGAGUGCGAGAGAGUUGAAAGACACAAAUCAUUGCGGAAUGACUGUUGCGGUGCGGCUAAUUGUACGGUUUUUUUUUUGUGAGUGCAGCAACAAAAUAACACAGACCACGCUAAAAGUAGAUUGAGUGAAAGAGAGAGAGAGAGAGAGAGGACAAACCGCAAGCGUAUGAUUCGUUUACUGUUGCUGCUAUCGUUGAUGCUGAUUAUGCUAUGUCGGGCAUAGCGGAGCACAUGCGUGGAGCUGCUGCGACAAACGGUAUCGGUGGAGGACGGUAAAGACGAAGUGGAUGAGUUGCAUCUAAAUGAGAACAACAAUAACAACAACGACAAACAAUCAACAAUGAAAUCAACUGUAAACGUUACGAGACAAAUGACAAAUGGCAACGUCGCACCGCCAGACGAUCUGUGGCAAGGGAUAAGCCCUCUCCGGCAACCAAUUAAACAGAAUAGUGGCAAAUGUCUGGGAUUAGUCGGGCAAUGAGCGCCGCUCGCCCGAUCCCAACCAGGCGCGCUGACUUCGCGUGUCAAGGCUAAAACUCAAUUGACAACGGAAUACCCAUGGCAGCCAAAUGUGCCGCCAAUUACUCACAUCCAAAUGCCGAGCACGGGCUGGACAGUGGCUGCCGCUUGGCAGGAUGUCUCCACUGUGCAGGCAACGAACGCUGAACAAAGGGGAUGCAAAAAGACAAUAAUUUGGCUUUUUUAGGAAUCAUUUGCAAUCAACGUUCUCUUUGCUGCAAGAGCAUAAGGCUUGUUGUGGGACUUGGCUGUGUAAUGGGUCCGAUGGGAGCUGUUAAGGCUCUUGCCUGGCUGCAGCGAGUCGAGUCCUUGUUGGCAGUUUCAAUUUCGUCGUAUUUAUUUCACUCAUCUCCUGCUCCAAGUGCAGCAACGCAUAUAAAUGGCGGUCAAUUGCAGCUCGUUUGUCGAGCCACCGUUUGCCCUGCGACCCGAUUAGAAAAUGGCCAACUGGGGACAAAUUCCGAGCGACGCCCCAACACACUAAUUAUGUUUUGCAGUCAAUGGCAAAUGGCGUUGGUCCUCGCAUGCCCUGCCUCUACGGAUAUCGGUGUGGAUGCAGUUGACUGCGUUUUCAAUUACCUGCCUGACUACUUACAAGGGAAAGGUCACGUGUAAUGGAGAUUUACGUUAUGUUCGCGAUUGCAAUGCUAUACUUAAGUGAUAUCAAUGGUAAUGUUAGGAACGAGUCGAAUGUGGUAGGUGUCUUCGGACGUGGAGUAAUUUUGUAUAAGAGCUUAAAAUAAAUAAUCUUGAAUUUAGAAAACCUAGCAUAA